This 1009-nucleotide long non-coding RNA is filed under the name Cyanistes caeruleus (blue tit). RNAcentral describes it as "lncRNA (ENSCCEG00000008178.1)". The record is from RNAcentral. Lineage: Eukaryota; Metazoa; Chordata; Aves; Passeriformes; Paridae.
UUAACCAUGAUCAAGAGAUUUUGCAGAUUCUAUAAUGGGGGAAAUAUUACACCUAGAUUUCACUUCAGCCUUUCCACCCCAAUACCAUUUAUAUUUAAGAAACUAUUACAUGACUUUUGUCACUAAAUAAAACACAUUAUUUUCUUACGAUUCAACAUAAUAAACUAAAGAGCCAAAUGCAUCAUGGUGAGAGAAAUAGUAACUCUCUGCUGACUAGGGCAGAAAGACAGUCUCUCAGCCUAUAAUGUGCCUUAGAUUUUCCUACUCAAAAGCAUUUGACUGAGUCUACAGCGGGAUCUCACACGGUACAUCAGUCCAGAGGUUCUGUAUUUGGCAUUCUGUGCUGUUAAUAUUGCUAUUCAUCUGUACAAGCCUGUUUAAACUCUAGAAUAAAAAAAAAAUAAAUUAUGUUUAGGUUUGCACCUUUACCAUACUUCUUUGUGUGGUCAGUGUGUGGUUGGUCAGUGUAUGGUCAGUGUAUGGUCAGUGUGUAGUCAGUGUGGUCAGUGUGGUCAGUGUAUGGUCAGUAUGGUCAGUGUAUGGUCAGUGUAUGGUCAGUGUGGUCAGUGGUCAGUAUGGUCAGUGUGGUCAGUGUGGUCAGUAUGGUCAGGGUAUGGUCAGUGUAUGGUCAGUGUGGUCAGUAUGGUCAGUAUGGUCAGUGUAUGGUCAGUGUAUGGUCAGUGUAUGGUCAGUGUAUGGUCAGUGUGGUCAGUGUAUGGUCAGUGUAUGGUCAGUGUAUGGUCAGGGUAUGGUCAGUGUGGUCAGUGUAUGGUCAGUGUAUGGUCAGUGUAUGGUCAGUGUGGUCAGCACAGACACGCACGCACAGAAACCUCAGCUGGUCUCAUUCUGUCAUCCCGAAUCUGACCCCUCCCAGCAGCCAGAACUGACAAAACCAAAGCAGCCAGAACUGACAAAACCAAAUCUGACUGAGGUACCUGUAUGCAGAGUUCGGUUUGACACCUCAGUUCCUCUGAGAUACAGAACUCAGGUAUUUGGAAAUGAGCCUAGG